RNAcentral lists this ribosomal RNA (500 nucleotides) under uncultured bacterium. Its description in RNAcentral is "partial 16S ribosomal RNA". It matches the Rfam family "Bacterial small subunit ribosomal RNA", at positions 30 to 523 of the family's 1533-position model. The record is from RNAcentral.
AUUGAACGCUGGCGGCAUGCCUUACACAUGCAAGUCGAACGGUAACGGGUCCUUCGGGAUGCCGACGAGUGGCGAACGGGUGAGUAAUAUAUCGUAACGUGCCCAGUCGUGGGGGAUAACUGCUCGAAAGAGCAGCUCAUACCGCAUACGACCUGAGGGUGCAAGGGGGGGCUCGCAAGACCUCUCGCCAUUGGAGCGGCGGAUAACAGAUUGGCUGGUUGGUGGGGUAAAGGCCUACCAAGGCAACGAUCUGUAGUUGGUCUGAGAGGACGACCAGCCACACUGGGACUGAGACACGGCCCAGACUCCUACGGGAGGCAGCAGUGGGGAAUUUUGGACAAUGGGCGCAAGCCUGAUCCAGCAAUGCCGCGUGCAGGAAGAAGGCCUUCGGGUUGUAAACUGCUUUUGUCAGGGAAGAAAUCUUCUGGGCUAAUACCCCGGGAGGAUGACGGUACCUGAAGAAUAAGCACCGGCUAACUACGUGCCAGCAGCCGCCGCGG